GUUGCCACGGCAGAGGGGCCCUGCAGCCAGUGCCCCAGGCCCUGGGGAGGGCAGGAGUUCCUGGGGGCCGGGCCAGCCAGGCUCCUGCACCUGCAGGCCUGCGGGCCAGCCGAGCGCCCUGGACCAGCCUCUUUGCUGGGCCCUCCCUUGGCAGCAGGUUAACGAGACCGCUGGGCCAGCUUGUCUCCUCCACCUGAUGCACACAAGGGAAGACUGGCUUCCCGGCUUCCAGGGGCAAAGGCAGUCUUCCGGAGCUGGGGCUCACCCAGACAGCCC
RNAcentral lists this long non-coding RNA (276 nucleotides) under Equus caballus (horse). Its description in RNAcentral is "lncRNA (ENSECAG00000054683.1)". Lineage: Eukaryota; Metazoa; Chordata; Mammalia; Perissodactyla; Equidae. The record is from RNAcentral.